Long non-coding RNA from Equus caballus (horse), 2481 nucleotides. RefSeq lists it as uncharacterized. The record is from RefSeq and is a predicted model, not a curated record. Lineage: Eukaryota; Metazoa; Chordata; Mammalia; Perissodactyla; Equidae.
ACAUGAAAGGAAGAUGGUCUAACCUACCGGCGGAUGAAAGGUCAUAUAGAAGAGAACUAAGACAUCUUAGCUAAGAGCCAGCACCAAUUCCCAGACACGUAAAGGAAGCUGCCUUGGACUUUCCAGCCCAGCCAACCUCCUAACAGCCACAUGAGUAAGCCCAGGUGAUCCAGUAGAGGAACGGCCCAGCCAACCCUCAGAAAUAAACAUUCAAGUGCUGUGAAUAUUCCCAUCGAUGUCUGAGUGUGACUGUCAGAUGGUUAUUGACUGAAAGCCAGCAGUAGUUGGCAAAAAUUAUGUCUCAACAGUGCACAUCAAGUGGGCUUCAAGGGGAGAAAUCUUCAGCUCUCUCAGAUUAUCUGCUUUAAUGUCAAAACCCCAGCCUGAGGAUUCCCUCUGCCUUUCCAGCUUCCUUAAAUGUCCAAACACCUAAAUCUUCAAGUCUUUUUUGUUUUGCAGUUGUCAUCUGAUUAUAAUAGAGAGUGAGUUCUUUCUAUAAUCACUCCCAAAGUAAGACAUACUAGUCUGCUUUAUAUAAUUCUGCAUGUGCUCUAAGAAUUCCAGAAGUUUCUAAUGCAGGUAUGAAGCAGGGUGGUGCUACUGGGAGCCUAAAAAUGCUGACUUGACAAUGCAACAGUUAUUUACUGAGCAUCUACUUCGUGAAAAGCACUGUGAGUAAUGCAAAGAUGACCAUGAUGGAGUUCUCCACUCAUAGGAAAGACAGAUUACAUAAAAUUAUAAUAAAAAUUAAAAUGCGCUAAGUGCUAAUAAAAACUCACAGUGUAGGGGAGACAUAGUUUGGGACACACGACUGUGGGAUCAGAACAAUCUUCUUAUAGGAGACUGCAUUUGAACAGAAGAAUGACAUGAUUAAUAAUUAUGUUAGAAAUAUGCUUUAAGAAGCUACUUUGGAAGCAGAUGAAUUGAAUGAAGGAAAAAUCAAAGGAAGGAAAAUAGUGAGGAGGCAUUGCGAUAUUCCCAGAAAGAGUCAAAGAGGGCAAGACUCAGACAGCGGUGCUGGUAAUGAGGAGGAGACGACAGUGUGAAACAAGGAGAGAUACUGAGUCUGGAAUACAGAUUUAGGACUCACCAGCACCCAGGUGACUGCUGAAACCUCGGUGAGAGGUCAGAUCGACAAAGGAGAUGGGCUGAGGGAAGAGAUCCAGUCCCUGAAGAAUGUUUAUAUUUAAAAAAUGUUUCAAAAAUGGAAGAAGAGACAAAAGAAAUGGAGAAGGAACAGACACAGCUGAAAGAGAAUCAGGAAAAUACGCUGUCACAGAAGCUUAGAGAAGAUAUAGUCUCAAUAAGGUAAAGAGGAGUCAACAGAACCAGCAGGUGCAGAAAGGCUGAGGAGAGUGGACAGAGAGGACAACACAGGACUUAUCAAUUAGGAACUUGUCACUGACCACUCAGACACAGAUUUCAGUGUAAUGUGAGGAUGAAGCCAGACUGCAAAGGUUUGAAUGGUGAGCAUGAGGAAAUGGAGGCAGUGCAGACAGUCUGAGAAAAGGAAGACUUUAUAGGUAGAGAAGACAAACUUCAGAAAAAAAGAGAAUUGGCAAAUAAAAGAUGGAGGAUAUAACUAAUGGCAAAAGGCUCUGAAAGAAGUGGGAAAGAUGAAGGAGCUGGCCCCAGAAAGAAGGAGCACCUUUCCUCCAAAACAAUUGGUCUAGAGACAGUCCCUCCUUCUCUACAAAGUUUCCCAGCUCUUGGCAGAAAGAAAGAACUGGUGGUGGCUAAGAGGGUGGGGAUGGUGUCACAGCAGAGGCCAUUUUAGUUAGAGCAUCCAUGAACAAUGAAAACUAAAGCACAGACCUGGGCUGGGGGGAGCUCAGGUAUGGAAGUCUGAUCACAAACUUAUUGUUACCCACAAAUUACUGGAAUCUUCCUAGAUUCAAGAUUACCGAGAAUCUCUCCUGCUUAGACUUCACACUGUGUCUGGUCCUCUUUUGGGGGCCUAGGUCCUUCGGCAACAACCACAGCUUAACUCUAUGGAUCUCAUGUUAUUCAAGAAAUCUGUAUUUAGACUAGAAUCCCAAACUUUCAUCUUGGCUUCUCCUUAUUUUCUCAGGCUACAUGGUGGCGCCUCUGUCCACUAACUGAUAAUAUCCUCUUUAUCAAGAGAAGCUUCUUGAAUCUAUAACACAUUCCAUUGGCCUAACCGAAUUCCUAGUUCUGGUCAAUCAAGACUCCCUGACUGUAUGCUGGCCACAAGCCAGAAGAAGGCCCAAGUGUCCUCACCUGUAAAAUCUUAGGUAACAUCCAAAAGCACUAGGUAGCAUCCAAAGGUCUAACUAGCUUUAAACUCUUAUGAUUCUAAAUCAACAUUGCAAGGAACUUUCGUUGUUUUCUUGUGAUUCAGGAUUUCUCAGCGUAGCAUUUCCUUAUGAGUAUACUUAUUCUUUCUGAACCAGUAAGUAAACUUGAGGUUUUAGGCAGAAAGAAUGUGAGAUGAACAACAACGCACAAUUUUUAUCAACA